UUUGGCUUGUAAGUCAUCCUCAUAGUGUCUAACAUAAUUUUGACACUCCUCCUUUGAAGCUAAUUUCGUAGGAGGUAUAUGAGGUGGGGAUUGCUUAAGCACAUACAAUAUGUCUUUCACCUUUGAGACAUUCUCAAUAUGGCGAUACCAAGCAAGGAAACGUUGGCCCUUAAGGCCCUUUUUGUCAAGUAUAAUGGUGGGUAUAAUUUUAGGCAUGUCGUUCACUACAUAACAUAACAGAAAUCGUAUUAGAUUGUUUGUUUAAAACUAUUUGAUUGGGUCUUUGAAUCAAAUAGUACCACCCACUAUUUUUGGCAAAUUCCACAUCCCUCAAUAGAAUUCGAGAGUUAUAUUGAACUCUUAGCGGGUUAUGGGAGACUCACCUUUACCAAGCCCACCUCACGAUGAUACGAUAUUGGUUAGCAAAAAUAAUGAUGAGAGAAUAACGCAUUAUUCAUUUACAACUUUUGUAAUUACCCAUCCAUUUGGCCUCUAGAGAAUGUUGCCUCACGAUGAUACGAUAUCGGCUCCAUUGCACUUAGUUAAGUUAUUCCCACCAUGCUUAGUUUGUGAAGGGGUUCAAGAAUAGCCUCACAAUGAUAUGAUAUCGGCUAUCCUCGUUGCCUACACUCACCUCAUCAUAUGUAUAUGGAUUCCUCCUGGAUGUAAGCACAUGCUUUGUACUCCCCCAUGAUAGGGUGAAGCCGGUGCAUGAGUCACAAACGCUUGGAGCCCACCACGGUGGAAGGCCUACGAAGAGAUGUUCAAAAACAUCUCUCGCUUAUCAACUUAAUAUUUGUUUUGAGGGAGUUGUUUUGGGCUACAUCAAAACAUUUUAAUCACAUUAAAAGAACUUGGGCCUAUCACAACUAUUGGUCCAAGUCAAUAUGAAUUAGUAGCAUAUAAUACUCCCACUGUUUCGUUGAAACAAGCGAGACUAUAUGGAACUACUAACGAAUGCAUUGCAUCCUCAUAUGGACUAUAUAGUCAUAUUAGGUUAUAGGAUGAUUAUGAACCGAUUGAUUUGAUCCAACACGAGCCUUGUGUUGGACCUUGGGUUUAAGGUAGAUAGUUGUUGAUUUUAGUUACGCGUUUAAUCUAAUUAAACCGUUAUUUCCUAUUGGGCGUUGGACCCAACUAUUCCAUUUUGCAUACAUAUAAACAAAAAGGAAUACAUGAAAUAAUAAUAAGGGCUUAUGCCCUUUUACAACAUAAAUCAAAUGAUGGACUUAUGUCCAUUUACAACAAAUUGAAUUAAUCAAAUUACAUUCAAAUCUACACUACUAAAACCCAAACAUUCAUAAUGUAUAUCGGCCAAUCACAUAGCUCAAUUUAUAGUGGCCUUUGGUUCAUAAUCACCCUUUUCUUAAUCAAUCAAAUUAACUAAGAAAAACAACUUUAAACAAUUGGUUUUUGGAUCCAUAGAAUUGAUUUAAAUGGAACUAAAUGAAAUGAAAAUCCAAUUCUCAUUUAAAGAGACAAAAACAAUUUUGUUCUCAUCCUUUUGGGCCAAAAGGAAACUAUGACCACAACAUUUGGGCCACAACGUAAAAACGUAAACUUUUUGGGCUAAAAUGCAAAUACACAAAAGUAUCUAAAACUUUAUGUAAUUGCACAAAAGGCCCCAAAAAAUAACCCCACUUGGGGUGGCCGGCCAUUUGGGAAAAAUUUGAAAAAAAAUCUAAAAAAUUUUGCUAGUGGUUUUUGGUGGGUGAGGAAAAGGAUGAAAGUGAUGAUUUGUUUGAAAAAAUAAAGUCUAUGACUAAUUAUGACAAAUAUUAAAAUCAUUUCAUCACAUCUCACCAAUAACCUCAAUCAUCAAAAAUUUAAACCAAAACUUUAUGAAAAAACAUAAAACUUUUGAAUCAAAACUUCAAAACUUUAUGUUCUUGGCAAGAACUUCAAGAACAUUGAAGAACACUCAUGAAAACUCAUAAUAGCUCCAUGAAUGUUUUCACUUACCAAAACUCAAAUUUUCACCAUUCAAAAGAGGGCUAACAUCCUAGGGUACUUAGGGGUUCCAAAAGUCACUUUAAAACCAUUUUAACAAGACAAACAUGAACCCAAAAAAUCACCCUUUGGAUUUGGCCGAAUUUCCCAAAACACGUGGCACCAAAUUUUAGUUCCAAUAUUCAUGCUUAAAUGAAAUACAUCUACAACAUUUGAGAUGCUAAAUUUUCUAGCAAAAUUUAUAAAUUCAAAAGCAAGAACAAAGCUUGUAACAUUUACAACAUUUAAAUCACAAAAUAUGAAAGUCACAAAACCCAAAA
RNAcentral lists this long non-coding RNA (2270 nucleotides) under Malus domestica (apple). Its description in RNAcentral is "long non-coding RNA (MDOM_LNC017944)". The record is from RNAcentral. Lineage: Eukaryota; Viridiplantae; Streptophyta; Magnoliopsida; Rosales; Rosaceae.